UCCACCUAAAGCAAUGACAAAGUGGCAGUUGUGAUAGAAAGGAAAGGGCAAGGCGUGCCCUGCAGCACAGUCUGGAUCGGGCGGCGGGUACGGAUAUGCGCCGAAUACCGGAGAGAAUAUGAGGAUCUGAUUCCAUUCAAACCGGCAGAACCGGGCAGGUUACUGCAACGAAAGAAAGCUGCAAUUUCCUAUUUACCGUACAUCUCUUAAGCCUGAUGAUCAAGCACAGAACAAAAUACAGAAAUGUCAUUGAAGAUUCUCCGGAUCUCCAUGUGAGGUAUCCUGAUUAUUAUUAAAGAAAUGAUAUUGAGUCCACGAGUUUCGUAUAAUUCAUUUUGUAAAAGUAAUCAAAUAUGAUAUUCAUAUAAAAAAUAUUAAAUUUUUAAUAAUAAAUUUAACUUUUUUUUAAAA
Molecule: long non-coding RNA, 411 nt
Organism: Carya illinoinensis
Lineage: Eukaryota; Viridiplantae; Streptophyta; Magnoliopsida; Fagales; Juglandaceae
Exons: 2
Source: RefSeq, a predicted model, not a curated record